UGAGGAAUAUUGGUCAAUGGGGGCAACCCUGAACCAGCCAAGUCGCGUGAAGGAUGAAGGUCUUAUGGAUUGUAAACUUCUUUUAUACAGGAAUAAAUUGGGGGACGUGUCCCCUUUUGCAUGUACUGUAUGAAUAAGGAUCGGCUAACUCCGUGCCAGCAGCCGCGGUAAUACGGAGGAUCCGAGCGUUAUCCGGAUUUAUUGGGUUUAAAGGGUGCGCAGGCGGGAUGUUAAGUCGGCGGUGAAAUUUUGCAGCUCAACUGUAAAAGUGCCUUCGAUACUGGCUUCCUUGAGUGUAGAUGAAGUAGGCGGAAUUUGUGGUGUAGCGGUGAAAUGCUUAGAGAUCACGAGGAACUCCGAUUGCGCAGGCAGCUUACUAAACUACAACUGACGCUCAUGCACGAAGGCGUGGGGAUCAAACA
This 422-nucleotide ribosomal RNA is filed under the name uncultured bacterium. Its description in RNAcentral is "bacterial SSU rRNA". It matches the Rfam family "Bacterial small subunit ribosomal RNA", at positions 355 to 774 of the family's 1533-position model. The record is from RNAcentral.